This 440-nucleotide ribosomal RNA is filed under the name uncultured bacterium. Its description in RNAcentral is "partial 16S ribosomal RNA". It matches the Rfam family "Bacterial small subunit ribosomal RNA", at positions 338 to 795 of the family's 1533-position model. The record is from RNAcentral.
CCUACGGGAGGCAGCAGUGGGGAAUAUUGCACAAUGGGGGAAACCCUGAUGCAGCGACGCCGCGUGAGUGAAGAAGUAUUUCGGUACGUAAAGCUCUAUCAGCAGGGAAGAAAAUGACGGUACCUGUCUAAGAAGCCCCGGCUAACUACGUGCCAGCAGCCGCGGUAAUACGUAGGGGGCAAGCGUUAUCCGGAUUUACUGGGUGUAAAGGGAGCGUAGACGGGAGCGCAUGUCUGAAGGGAAAUCCCAUGGCGUAACCAUGGAACUGCUUUGGAAACUGUGCAGCUGGAGUGCAGGAGAGGUAAGCGGAAUUCCGAGUGUAGCGGUGAAAUGCGUAGAUAUUAGGAGGAACACCAGUGGCGGAGGCGGCUUACUGGACGGUAACUGACGUUGAGGCUCGAAAGCGUGGGGAGCAAACAGGAUUAGAUACCCUAGUAGUC